This 253-nucleotide ribosomal RNA is filed under the name uncultured bacterium. RNAcentral describes it as "partial 16S ribosomal RNA". It matches the Rfam family "Bacterial small subunit ribosomal RNA", at positions 524 to 776 of the family's 1533-position model. The record is from RNAcentral.
UACAGAGGGUGCGAGCGUUAAUCGGAAUUACUGGGCGUAAAGCGCACGUAGGCGGCUUGGUAUGUCGGGUGUGAAAUCCCCGGGCUCAACCUGGGAACUGCAUCCGAAACUGCCUUGCUAGAGUAUGGGAGAGGGAAGUGGAAUUUCCGGUGUAGCGGUGAAAUGCGUAGAUAUCGGAAGGAACAUCAGUGGCGAAGGCGGCCCUCUGGACGGAUACUGACGCUGAGGCGCGAAAGCGUGGGGAUCAAACAGG